UGCAAGUCGAACGCUGAAGCACUCUGCUUGCAGAGUGUGGAUGAGUGGCGAACGGGUGAGUAACACGUGGAGAACCUGCCCAUAAGAGGGGGAUAACAUCCGGAAACGGGUGCUAAUACCGCAUAGGUAUCCGACACGCAUGUGUCGGCUAUGAAAGACGGCUUCGGCUGUCGCUUAUGGAUGGCUCCGCGGCGUAUUAGCUAGUUGGUGAGGUAAUGGCUCACCAAGGCAGUGAUACGUAGCCGACCUGAGAGGGUGAUCGGCCACACUGGGACUGAGACACGGCCCAGACUCCUACGGGAGGCAGCAGUAGGGAAUCUUCCACAAUGGGCGCAAGCCUGAUGGAGCAAUGCCGCGUGAAUGAAGAAGGUCUUCGGAUCGUAAAGUUCUGUUAUCGGAGAAGAACACGUCGAGUAGUAACUGGCUCGACCUUGACGGUAUCCGACCAGAAAGUCACGGCUAACUACGUGCCAGCAGCCGCGGUAAUACGUAGGUGACAAGCGUUGUCCGGAUUUAUUGGGCGUAAAGCGAGCGCAGGCGGUCUUUUAAGUCUGAUGUGAAAGCCCACGGCUCAACCGUGGAUGGUCAUUGGAAACUGGAGGACUUGAAUGCAGAAGAGGUAAGUGGAAUUCCAUGUGUAGCGGUGAAAUGCGUAGAUAUAUGGAGGAACACCAGUGGCGAAGGCGACUUACUGGUCUGUUAUUGACGCUGAGGCUCGAAAGCGUGGGGAGCGAACAGGAUUAGAUACCCUGGUAGUCCACGCCGUAACGAUGAGUGCUAAGUGUUGGAGGGUUUCCGCCCUU
This 803-nucleotide ribosomal RNA is filed under the name Alkalibacterium sp. RNAcentral's name for it is "bacterial SSU rRNA". It matches the Rfam family "Bacterial small subunit ribosomal RNA", at positions 56 to 840 of the family's 1533-position model. The record is from RNAcentral. Lineage: Bacteria; Bacillati; Bacillota; Bacilli; Lactobacillales; Carnobacteriaceae.